RNAcentral lists this ribosomal RNA (1509 nucleotides) under Helicobacter pylori. Its description in RNAcentral is "bacterial SSU rRNA". It matches the Rfam family "Bacterial small subunit ribosomal RNA". The record is from RNAcentral. Lineage: Bacteria; Pseudomonadati; Campylobacterota; Epsilonproteobacteria; Campylobacterales; Helicobacteraceae.
UUUAUGGAGAGUUUGAUCCUGGCUCAGAGUGAACGCUGGCGGCGUGCCUAAUACAUGCAAGUCGAACGAUGAAGCUUCUAGCUUGCUAGAGUGCUGAUUAGUGGCGCACGGGUGAGUAACGCAUAGGUUAUGUACCUCUUAGUUUGGGAUAGCCAUUGGAAACGAUGAUUAAUACCAGAUACUCCCUACGGGGGAAAGAUUUAUCGCUAAGAGAUCAGCCUAUGUCCUAUCAGCUUGUUGGUAAGGUAAUGGCUUACCAAGGCUAUGACGGGUAUCCGGCCUGAGAGGGUGAACGGACACACUGGAACUGAGACACGGUCCAGACUCCUACGGGAGGCAGCAGUAGGGAAUAUUGCUCAAUGGGGGAAACCCUGAAGCAGCAACGCCGCGUGGAGGAUGAAGGUUUUAGGAUUGUAAACUCCUUUUGUUAGAGAAGAUAAUGACGGUAUCUAACGAAUAAGCACCGGCUAACUCCGUGCCAGCAGCCGCGGUAAUACGGAGGGUGCAAGCGUUACUCGGAAUCACUGGGCGUAAAGAGCGCGUAGGCGGGAUAGUCAGUCAGGUGUGAAAUCCUAUGGCUUAACCAUAGAACUGCAUUUGAAACUACUAUUCUAGAGUGUGGGAGAGGUAGGUGGAAUUCUUGGUGUAGGGGUAAAAUCCGUAGAGAUCAAGAGGAAUACUCAUUGCGAAGGCGACCUGCUGGAACAUUACUGACGCUGAUUGCGCGAAAGCGUGGGGAGCAAACAGGAUUAGAUACCCUGGUAGUCCACGCCCUAAACGAUGGAUGCUAGUUGUUGGAGGGCUUAGUCUCUCCAGUAAUGCAGCUAACGCAUUAAGCAUCCCGCCUGGGGAGUACGGUCGCAAGAUUAAAACUCAAAGGAAUAGACGGGGACCCGCACAAGCGGUGGAGCAUGUGGUUUAAUUCGAAGAUACACGAAGAACCUUACCUAGGCUUGACAUUGAGAGAAUCCGCUAGAAAUAGUGGAGUGUCUGGCUUGCUAGACCUUGAAAACAGGUGCUGCACGGCUGUCGUCAGCUCGUGUCGUGAGAUGUUGGGUUAAGUCCCGCAACGAGCGCAACCCCCUUUCUUAGUUGCUAACAGGUCAUGCUGAGAACUCUAAGGAUACUGCCUCCGUAAGGAGGAGGAAGGUGGGGACGACGUCAAGUCAUCAUGGCCCUUACGCCUAGGGCUACACACGUGCUACAAUGGGGUGCACAAAGAGAAGCAAUACUGCGAAGUGGAGCCAAUCUUCAAAACACCUCUCAGUUCGGAUUGUAGGCUGCAACUCGCCUGCAUGAAGCUGGAAUCGCUAGUAAUCGCAAAUCAGCCAUGUUGCGGUGAAUACGUUCCCGGGUCUUGUACUCACCGCCCGUCACACCAUGGGAGUUGUGUUUGCCUUAAGUCAGGAUGCUAAAUUGGCUACUGCCCACGGCACACACAGCGACUGGGGUGAAGUCGUAACAAGGUAACCGUAGGUGAACCUGCGGUUGGAUCACCUCCUUUCUAGA